This 151-nucleotide ribosomal RNA is filed under the name Beauveria bassiana. RNAcentral's name for it is "5.8S ribosomal RNA". It matches the Rfam family "5.8S ribosomal RNA". From Rfam's summary of the family: 5.8S ribosomal RNA (5.8S rRNA) is a component of the large subunit of the eukaryotic ribosome. It is transcribed by RNA polymerase I as part of the 45S precursor that also contains 18S and 28S rRNA. The record is from RNAcentral. Lineage: Eukaryota; Fungi; Ascomycota; Sordariomycetes; Hypocreales; Cordycipitaceae.
AAACUUUCAACAACGGAUCUCUUGGCUCUGGCAUCGAUGAAGAACGCAGCGAAAUGCGAUAAGUAAUGUGAAUUGCAGAAUCCAGUGAAUCAUCGAAUCUUUGAACGCACAUUGCGCCCGCCAGCAUUCUGGCGGGCAUGCCUGUUCGAGC